RNA transcript from Phascolarctos cinereus (koala), 3028 nucleotides. It is a transcript of the gene named tuftelin 1, with no coding region annotated. The record is from RefSeq and is a predicted model, not a curated record. Lineage: Eukaryota; Metazoa; Chordata; Mammalia; Diprotodontia; Phascolarctidae.
UCUCUUCCAGUUGGCUGAGCUUAGACUAAGAGGAGGCGUGGCUUCCCCGGCUGCCCUUAGCCCGAUGCUCCUAUAUAUAGGGGGGCGGGUAUCAGCCUCCCGCCUUCCCACUCGGAUCUGGACCGCCGCGGAGGUAGGUGCUGGCCUUUUCGGAGCCGCUCCGGAGCGGUCCGGGGCCAGAAGACAAUGAACGGGACGCGCUCCUGGUGUGCGCUGGUGGACUUGCACUCCGAGGGGGAGAGCGCGGGAGUUGGGAAGUCCUACACAAUGGUGUCUAGCAGAUCAGCUGGUCAUUCCCUGGCAUCGGAGCUGAUAGAGUCUAAUGAUGGGCAUGAGGAAAUCAUCAAGGUUUACUUGAAGGGGAAAGCUGGUGACAAAGUCAUCCAUGAGAAGAAUAUCGAUCAGCUGAAAAGUGAGGUUCAGUACAUCCAAGAGGCUAGGAGCUGUUUGCAGAAGCUUCGGGAGGAUAUAAGCAGCAAGCUUGAGAGAGACUCAAGGGACUUUCCUCAGCAACAGGAGAUGCAGGUGCUAUUGGAAGAGCCAAAUGACUUCAGGCAGUCUUCCACUUCUCUGUACAAGACCCCCUCUGAGACCCUGGCGCAAGGCUAUCAAAAUGAAGACUCCGAGAGCUUGAAGAAAACCAUCCAAGAUCUGCGUGAUAAGCUGCAGGAGGCUGAGAGGCAGCAGCAGUCAGACAAGGCGCAUUUCGAGGCCACACUUAGCCGGUACCAGAGAGAGGCUGAGACGAGCAGUUCUGCCCUUCAGAGAGCCGAGAGCAGCUUGGAGCAGAAAGAUGCAGAAAUUCUCAAGCUUCAGAGGUGCAUGCUGGGGAUGGAGAAGGAACAACAGAACUUACUGGAGAAGGUCAGUGAAGGGGAGACGGCCCUGGAAGAGCUUCGGACCUGGAGAGCUGACUGCCUUGCCGAGCAGGAAAAGGCUGCUCAGCUAGAGAAGGAAGUGGCUGGCCUUCGGGAGAAGAUCCAUCACCUGGAUGACAUGCUGAAGAGCCAGCAGCGGAAAGUCAGACAGAUGAUAGAGCAGCUUCAGAAUUCUAAAACCGUGAUUCAGUCAAAGGACACAACCAUUCAAGAGCUCAAAGAGAAGGUUGCCUACUUGGAGGCUGAGAAUUUAGAGAUGCAUGACCGAAUGGAGCACCUGAUAGAAAAGCAGAUCAGUCCUGGCAAUUUCAGUACCCAAACCCGAACCAAGAGUGACAACCUGGGAAGGUUGAAGAUGUUUUGUGAGAUGAUUGGAGAAGAAGAGCAUAUAUGGAUAUAAAGAACAGCCUCAGCUUCAUAGGACUGAAAAGGGUUUUGAAGCCAUUAUCUGUAUCUCACUGCUUCACUAAAGGGCACCACACUUCUGAGAGCGUUAGGAUCUCCCGGCCUCCAAACCCUAAGCCCUUGCCUCUCAUCCGGGUGGUGGAAACCUGAGCUGCAAAUGAAUAUUGCUGCUUACUACCCUUGUUGGCCUAAAGAGAAAACCCACCCACCCUGUUGUAUCACAGACUUUUACUUCUUGAUCGCUCCUUGGCUGCCCCCCCUCCCCCCCUCCCCCGGGCCACAUGUUUGUGUGCCUAAUUCUUGAGCUCCUUUCUUCUGUAUGCUGGGCAGACGGAGGAGGGGGAGGGUCUUCCUCUGGAGACCUGGAGCCCUUUGAAGGAAGCUACUGAGGCCAGGACAAGGGUGGAGCCAGUGAUAACACCCAUAAUACCAUGAUUGUUGCUGAUCUUCAUUAAAGAGGAGAUUUUUCCUCUGAAACUGGGUGUCGAGCUGCCCUGGCAACCAGGGUUACCCAGCAGGACUGGGAUGGGGUGCCCUGACUCACCUCCUCCCUAACACAUGGACUGGUUAUCAUGCUGAGGGACAGAACCUCUUUUUUCCAGUGUUGCUCAGCCCCUAGCAACAUACCAUUUCCCCGUUUCUCUGUGCCCCAGAAACGCUUAGUCCUCCUCCCAAGAUGGCGGGAUGCCUACCAAGCUUGGGGGCUGUCUGGCUUCAGUGAGGAUGAAUCUCUCCUUCAGUUAAGUCCAUUUUCCCGGGGAGGAGGGUGAGACAAAAAUCUGCAUUCAAAGAAUGGAUUUGUAGCAGGAAGGGGUCCCUAGGGACACUGACAGCUACACCCUAGUCCUUACUGCUUUUGUCUUCUACCACAAUUCCCAGAAACCCUUGGAGUGUUUUUGUUUUUCUUUCUUUUUUCCCCAUUUAAACUUAGCCCAAGAAAUACCCCAGUCUUCUUGGUCCCAGUGCCUGGAGGAAAGAUUUUCCACCAGACUACAUCACUCUCAGAGAAGUAGCCAUGCCUCCCCCAAUAUUUAUUUUGCUAAGUUAUUGGUGUCUUUGAUUAUGUCUUGUGGUUGUUUUAAUACCAAAGUUUUGGAACCUACCUAUAGCUAUAGAGUUGCUUGAAACUGGGAAAAGCUUUUUGUGUGUCUUUCAUCCUUCUCCUAUCCCUGUGUUUUCCUCUCCCCUUUCUCCAUUUGUAAUUUGUGGACCAGGUAGGGAAUUGUAUGUGUGUUUGUAUAUUCAGACUACAGGUAGGGGGGAGUGGGCGGGAAAGGAAAUGUAUAUUGAUUGUACAGAAAAUUCAUGAAUAGGAUCCUUGAAUCUCCCCCUCCCUGCUUCCCUUCCCUCUCCCCCACCAUUCAGGGUCCUUUUGGGUAUACUGCCUCUGAAUGAUCCCAUCUCCUCUUGGUCCCUGACUUGUAGCCUCAGGCGAUGGAGAUAAAGCAUCAGAGGACUAGUAUAGUCCUGUAGAAAAAUAUUAAGUCACUUAGCUCUGCCUGGCUCAAAAGUAGAAGGCUUAAGUUUGUCUGUGUCUGUGUAGAGGAAGCCUGGGUACUAGGCCAAGUCCUGCCCAGAACUUGCUUUGCCACUGUGGGCAAGUCCUUCCAUGCUCCAGUUGACUCAUCUAGAAAGUGAAGGGCCUGCAGUAGUCUAUUUCCAAAGUCUCUGCUAACUCUAAAAUGUGUUUCUGGCCUAUACUCUUUAUAUGGUGAAUCGAAUAAAUUAUAUUAAUAUGCCUCUCA